AGGACGAACGCUGGCGGCGUGCUUAACACAUGCAAGUCGAACGGAAAGGCCCUUCGGGGUACUCGAGUGGCGAACGGGUGAGUAACACGUGGGUGAUCUGCCCUGCACUUUGGGAUAAGCCUGGGAAACUGGGUCUAAUACCGAAUAGGACUACGCGAUGCAUGUCGUGUGGUGGAAAGCUUUUGCGGUGUGGGAUGGGCCCGCGGCCUAUCAGCUUGUUGGUGAGGUUACGGCUCACCAAGGCGACGACGGGUAGCCGGCCUGGGAGGGUGACCGGCCACACUGGGACUGAGAUACGGCCCAGACUCCUACGGGAGGCAGCAGUGGGAAUAUUGCACAAUGGGCGCAAGCCUGAUGCAGCGACGCCGCGUGAGGGAUGGACGG
This 384-nucleotide ribosomal RNA is filed under the name uncultured soil bacterium. RNAcentral's name for it is "bacterial SSU rRNA". It matches the Rfam family "Bacterial small subunit ribosomal RNA", at positions 26 to 415 of the family's 1533-position model. The record is from RNAcentral.